UACGGAGGGUGCGAGCGUUGUCCGGAAUCACUGGGCGUAAAGGGCGCGUAGGUGGCGCGGGCAGUCAACGGUGAAAGUUCGGGGCUCGAACCCUGAAUCGGCCGUCGAUACUCCCGGGCUUGAGCACUGUAGAGGCAGAUGGAAUUCCGGGGUGUAGCGGUGGAAUGCGUAGAGAUCCGGAAGAACACCGGUGGCGAAGGCGGUCUGCUGGGCAGUGAGCUGACACUGAGGCGCGACAGCGUGGGGAGCAAACAGG
Molecule: ribosomal RNA, 256 nt
Filed under: uncultured bacterium
Lineage: Bacteria
Description: partial 16S ribosomal RNA
Rfam family: Bacterial small subunit ribosomal RNA
Source: RNAcentral